AUUUAGAUAGCUUAAUAUUGAAAGCGUAAUAUUGAAGAUAUUAAUAUAGAAUUUAUUUCUUCUAGAUA
RNAcentral lists this transfer RNA (68 nucleotides) under Anthocoris kerzhneri. Its description in RNAcentral is "tRNA-Phe". RNAcentral also lists the same sequence under 2 other names. The record is from RNAcentral. Lineage: Eukaryota; Metazoa; Arthropoda; Insecta; Hemiptera; Anthocoridae.